This 253-nucleotide ribosomal RNA is filed under the name uncultured bacterium. RNAcentral's name for it is "partial 16S ribosomal RNA". It matches the Rfam family "Bacterial small subunit ribosomal RNA", at positions 524 to 776 of the family's 1533-position model. The record is from RNAcentral.
UACAGAGGUGGCAAGCGUUGUUCGGAAUUACUGGGCGUAAAGGGCGCGUAGGCGGCCUUCUAAGUCAGACGUGAAAUCCCCCGGCUUAACCUGGGAACUGCGUCUGAUACUGGGAGGCUUGAGUAUGGGAGAGGGAUGUAGAAUUCCAGGUGUAGCGGUGAAAUGCGUAGAUAUCUGGAGGAACACCGGUGGCGAAGGCGGCAUCCUGGACCGAGACUGACACUGAGGAGCGAAAGCCAGGGGAGCAAACGGG